RNAcentral lists this ribosomal RNA (253 nucleotides) under uncultured bacterium. RNAcentral's name for it is "partial 16S ribosomal RNA". It matches the Rfam family "Bacterial small subunit ribosomal RNA", at positions 524 to 776 of the family's 1533-position model. The record is from RNAcentral.
UACGGGGGGGGCAAGCGUUGUUCGGAAUUACUGGGCGUAAAGGGCGCGUAGGCGGCCAUCUAAGUCGGACGUGAAAUCCCUCGGCUUAACCGAGGAACUGCGUCCGAUACUGGAAGGCUUGAAUCCGGGAGAGGGAUGUGGAAUUCCAGGUGUAGCGGUGAAAUGCGUAGAUAUCUGGAGGAACACCGGUGGCGAAGGCGGCAUCCUGGACCGGCAUUGACGCUGAAGCGCGAAAGCCAGGGGAGCAAACGGG